UUCAACCUGUAAAAUAUUCUUCAGUUUUUCUUGGAAUCUUAGAUUCUUCGAACAUUAACGACACAAACUGAACUCUUCACGACUUCGGCUCAAAUUACGAAAUAUGCCAACAUAAAAUUCGUAAUACACAUGAUACACACGAAGCAUCAACAAAAAUUCCGCUUAAAGAAGUUUACUAGAAAUCCAAUAACCGCAGGUAUCAGAAUAGAAUAAUAAAUAUUUACUAUAGCAAAACUAUAAAUAUACAAUCAAGUAGUUCAACUAUACACGCACUGAUAAGUAGUU
Molecule: long non-coding RNA, 285 nt
Filed under: Ananas comosus (pineapple)
Lineage: Eukaryota; Viridiplantae; Streptophyta; Magnoliopsida; Poales; Bromeliaceae
Description: long non-coding RNA (ACOM_LNC039285)
Source: RNAcentral